CCCUGUAUCGAAAGUGAUUGUGGCAUGAUUGUUGCCUGGUCAUUGAUACGCAGGAAGAGUGAGUUGAAAGUCCCGUGUUUGCUGGAGUAUCAGUUCCUGCCAAACCCUGUAUCUUUCAGACA
The sequence is a small nucleolar RNA, 122 nucleotides long. Its record names the gene SNORA71. It matches the Rfam family "Small nucleolar RNA SNORA71". Rfam says of the family: The members of this family belong to the H/ACA class of snoRNAs which bind a number of proteins (including dyskerin, Gar1p and Nop10p) to form snoRNP complexes. This class of snoRNAs are thought to guide the sites of modification of uridines to pseudouridines by forming direct base pairing interactions with substrate RNAs. This family includes U71 (SNORA71), ACA39 (SNORA39) and ACA60 (SNORA60). The record is from Ensembl.